AUUGAACGCUGGCGGAAUGCUUUACACAUGCAAGUCGAACGGUAGAGGGGGCAACCCCUUGAGAGUGGCGAACGGGUGAGUAAUGUAUCGGAACGUGCCCAGUCGUGGGGGAUAACGUAGUGAAAAUUACGCUAAUACCGCAUACGAUCUAUGGAUGAAAGCGGGGGAUCGCAAGACCUCGCGCGAUUGGAGCGGCCGAUAUCAGAUUAGGUAGUUGGUGGGGUAAAGGCUCACCAAGCCAACGAUCUGUAGCUGGUCUGAGAGGACGACCAGCCACACUGGAACUGAGACACGGUCCAGACUCCUACGGGAGGCAGCAGUGGGGAAUUUUGGACAAUGGACGCAAGUCUGAUCCAGCCAUUCCGCGUGCAGGACGAAGGCCUUCGGGUUGUAAACUGCUUUUGUACGGAACGAAAAAGCUCUUAUUAAUACUAGGAGUCCAUGACGGUACCGUAAGAAUAAGCACCGGCUAACUACGUGCCAGCAGCCGCGGUAAUACGUAGGGUGCAAGCGUUAAUCGGAAUUACUGGGCGUAAAGCGUGCGCAGGCGGUUACAUAAGACAGAUGUGAAAUCCCCGAGCUUAACUUGGGAACUGCAUUUGUGACUGUAUAGCUAGAGUACGGCAGAGGGGGAUGGAAUUCCGCGUGUAGCAGUGAAAUGCGUAGAUAUGCGGAGGAACACCGAUGGCGAAGGCAAUCCC
RNAcentral lists this ribosomal RNA (701 nucleotides) under Pseudomonadota bacterium. RNAcentral describes it as "bacterial SSU rRNA". It matches the Rfam family "Bacterial small subunit ribosomal RNA", at positions 28 to 728 of the family's 1533-position model. Lineage: Bacteria; Pseudomonadati; Pseudomonadota. The record is from RNAcentral.